Molecule: long non-coding RNA, 557 nt
Organism: Callorhinus ursinus (northern fur seal)
Lineage: Eukaryota; Metazoa; Chordata; Mammalia; Carnivora; Otariidae
Source: RefSeq, a predicted model, not a curated record
AGGAGAAAUAAAGAUAACUAUUAAGGAUAGCAUAAUGCCAAUUGAUUUUCAUGAAUAAGAGAUCCUCAAAUGAUAGACGAAUUUUCAAAGCCUUCAAAGAAAGUAUAUAUUGAAUUUAAUGUAGUUUGAUUGUACCGGGGACUGGCUAUGUGAGGGUGUGUAAGACGGAACUCCCCAUUUUCAAGGAAUUGACAAUUAAACUGGUGCAUGCAGAGGAAAGAUAAUUAAACUGGUACCUGUGGAAACACGUGAAAAGUGCUAUCACUGAGAUGAAUAUUUAGGAGAAGACAACAUUUUCAUCAUGCUGAUAAAACAACAGGAGCCCUGUGAAAGAAAUAAAUGGGCAUGUACUUUCCUCGAAAGACAAUCUUAUUCACCGCAGAAGACACUGGAGCCUUCAAUAGUUGGAGCUGGGGCCUUCACCAGGAAGCAGUCUUUCACCUAUGUUUUUGCUCUACCUUUCACUCUUGAUAUCAACUUUGGUACAAGCAUGAUCUUUGGCUAUCAGACCCUAUCGUAUAUCUGUAAAAUUUGAAAAUAAAGAGGUGCCUAAAAUA